Molecule: signal recognition particle RNA, 299 nt
Filed under: Cebus imitator (Panamanian white-faced capuchin)
Lineage: Eukaryota; Metazoa; Chordata; Mammalia; Primates; Cebidae
Description: Metazoan signal recognition particle RNA (ENSCCAG00000008710.1)
Rfam family: Metazoan signal recognition particle RNA
About the family: The signal recognition particle (SRP) is a universally conserved ribonucleoprotein. It is involved in the co-translational targeting of proteins to membranes.
Source: RNAcentral
GCCAGGCGCGGUGGCACGUGCCUGUAGUCCCAGCUACUCGGGAGGCUGAGGUGGGAAGAUGGCUUGAACCCAGGAGUUCUGGGCUGUAGUGCGCUAUGCCGAUCAGGUGUCCGCACUAAGUUAGGCAUUAAUAUGGUGACCUCCCAGGAGCGGGGGACCACCAGGUUGCCUAAAGAGGGAUGAACUGGCCCAGGUCGGAAACGGAGCAGGUCAAAACUCCCGUGCUGAUCAGUAGUGGGAUUGCACCUGUGAAUAGCCACUGCACUCCAGCCUGGGCAACAUAGCGAGACCCCGUCUCA